UCGUGUCAGGACGAACGCUGGCGGCGUGCCUAAUACAUGCAAGUCGAACGGUCUUUCUAUGGAAGCUUGCUUCCACUGAGAAGAUAGUGGCGAACGGGUGAGUAACACGUGGGUAACCUGCCCAUAAGAGGGGGAUAACAUCCGGAAACGGGUGCUAAUACCGCAUAGUUUUCUUGAUCGCAUGAUCGGGAAAGGAAAGACGGCCUUUGUGCUGUCGCUUAUGGAUGGACCCGCGGCGUAUUAGUUAGUUGGUGAGGUAACGGCUCACCAAGACGAUGAUACGUAGCCGACCUGAGAGGGUGAUCGGCCACAUUGGGACUGAGACACGGCCCAAACUCCUACGGGAGGCAGCAGUAGGGAAUCUUCCGCAAUGGACGAAAGUCUGACGGAGCAACGCCGCGUGAGUGAAGAAGGUUUUUCCGGAUCGUAAAACUCUGUUGUCAGAGAAGAACAAGUUGGAGAGUAACUGCUCCAGCCUUGACGGUAUCUGACCAGAAAGCCACGGCUAACUACGUGCCAGCAGCGGC
RNAcentral lists this ribosomal RNA (527 nucleotides) under uncultured bacterium. RNAcentral describes it as "bacterial SSU rRNA". It matches the Rfam family "Bacterial small subunit ribosomal RNA", at positions 19 to 518 of the family's 1533-position model. The record is from RNAcentral.